This 252-nucleotide ribosomal RNA is filed under the name uncultured bacterium. RNAcentral's name for it is "partial 16S ribosomal RNA". It matches the Rfam family "Bacterial small subunit ribosomal RNA", at positions 524 to 776 of the family's 1533-position model. The record is from RNAcentral.
UACGGAGGAUGCGAGCGUUAUCCGGAUUUAUUGGGUUUAAAGGGUGCGUAGGCGGACUGUCAAGUCAGCGGUAAAAUUGAGAGGCUCAACCUCUUCCCGCCGUUGAAACUGGUGGUCUUGAGUGGAUGAGAAGUACGCGGAAUGCGUGGUGUAGCGGUGAAAUGCAUAGAUAUCACGCAGAACUCCGAUUGCGAAGGCAGCGUACCGGCAUACAACUGACGCUGAGGCACGAAAGCGUGGGGAUCAAACAGG